CACGUAGGGCGCAAGCGUUGUCCGGAAUGACUGGGCGUAAAGGGCGCGUAGGCGGUUUGUACAGUCAGGUGUGAAAUUCCCGGGCUCAACCUGGGGGCUGCACUUGAUACGUAGGAACUGGAGUGGGGAAGAGGGUCGUGGAAUUCCCAGUGUAGAGGUGAAAUUCGUAGAUAUUGGGAAGAACACCGGUGGCGAAGGCGGCGACCUGGUCCGAUACUGACGCUGAGGCGCGAAAGCGUGGGGAGCAAACAGG
This 253-nucleotide ribosomal RNA is filed under the name uncultured bacterium. RNAcentral describes it as "partial 16S ribosomal RNA". It matches the Rfam family "Bacterial small subunit ribosomal RNA", at positions 524 to 776 of the family's 1533-position model. The record is from RNAcentral.